CCUACGGGGUGCAGCAGUAGGGAAUAUUGCUCAAUGGGGGAAACCCUGAAGCAGCAACGCCGCGUGGAGGAUGAAGGUUUUCGGAUUGUAAACUCCUUUUGUUAGAGAAGAUAAUGACGGUAUCUAACGAAUAAACACCGGCUAACUCCGUGCCAGCAGCCGCGGUAAUACGGAGGGUGCAAGCGUUACUCGGAAUCACUGGGCGUAAAGAGCGCGUAGGCGGGAUAGCAAGUCAGAUGUGAAAUCCUAUGGCUUAACCAUAGAACUGCAUUUGAAACUGUUAUUCUAGAGAAUGGGAGAGGUAGGUGGAAUUCUUGGUGUAGGGGUAAAAUCCGUAGAGAUCAAGAGGAAUACUCAUUGCGAAGGCGACCUGCUAGAACAUAACUGACGCUGAUGCGCGAAAGCGUGGGGAGCAAACAGGAUUAGAUACCCUUGUAGUC
Molecule: ribosomal RNA, 440 nt
Filed under: uncultured bacterium
Lineage: Bacteria
Description: partial 16S ribosomal RNA
Rfam family: Bacterial small subunit ribosomal RNA
Source: RNAcentral